GUGCUCAUUUUGGCAACACAUAUACUAAAACUGGAAUGAUUCAGAGAAAACUAGCAUUGCCUCUGUGCAAGGAUGACACGCAAAUUCGUGAAACAUUCCACGUUACC
This is a small nuclear RNA of Suricata suricatta (meerkat), 107 nucleotides long. Lineage: Eukaryota; Metazoa; Chordata; Mammalia; Carnivora; Herpestidae. The record is from Ensembl.